This 253-nucleotide ribosomal RNA is filed under the name uncultured bacterium. Its description in RNAcentral is "partial 16S ribosomal RNA". It matches the Rfam family "Bacterial small subunit ribosomal RNA", at positions 524 to 776 of the family's 1533-position model. The record is from RNAcentral.
UACAGAGGGGGCAAGCGUUAUUCGGAAUUAUUGGGCGUAAAGGGCGCGUAGGCGGCUUUUCAAGUGACGGGUGAAAUCCCUCGGCUUAACCGAGGAACUGCCUGUCAGACUGGAAGGCUUGAGACCGGGAGAGGUGAGUGGAAUUCCCAGUGUAGAGGUGAAAUUCGUAGAUAUUCGGAAGAACACCAGUGGCGAAGGCGGCUCACUGGACUGGUAUUGACGCUGAGGUGCGAAAGCGUGGGGAGCAAACAGG